GGUUUUUAUUUCUGCCAGUAGUCAUAUGCUUGUCUCCCACGAUUAAGCCAUGCUGUCUAAGUAUAAGCACUUUAUUGACUGUGAAACCUGCGAAUGGCAUCUUAAAUCAGUAUCUGUUAUUGAUUAGUACCUUACUACAUGAUACCUGUGGUAAUUCUAGAGCUAUACCUGCCUAAAAACCUCGACUUCGGAAGGGGUGUAUUUAUUUAGAUAAAAACCAAUGCCCUUCGGGGCUCCUUGGUGAUUCAUAAUAACUCUUAACAAUCGCAUGGCCUUGCGCCGGCGAUGGUUCAUGUCAAAUUUCUGGCCCUAUCAAUUUCGAUGGUAGGAUAGGGCUACCAUGGUGGCAACGGGUAAACGGGGAAUUAGGGUUCGCUCGGAGAGGGAGCCUAGAAACGGCUACCACAUCCAGUAAGGCAGCAGUGCGCGCAAAUUACCCAAUCCCGACACGGGGAGGUAGUGACAAUAAAUACUGAUACGGGGCUCUUUGGGUCUCGUAAUUGGAAUGAGUACAAUCUAAAUCCCUUAACGAGGAACAAUUGGAGGGCAAGUCUGGUGCCAGCAGCCGCGGUAAUUCCAGCUCCAAUAGCGUAUAUUAAAGUUGUUGCAGUUAAAAAGCUCGUAGUUGAACCUUGGGUCUGGCUGGCCGGUCCGCCUCACCGCGAGUACUGGUCCGGCUGGACCUUUCCUUCUGGGGAACCUCAUGGCCUUCACUGGCUGUGGGGGGAACCAGGACUUUUACUGUGAAAAAUUAGAGUGUUCAAAGCAGGCCUUUGCUCGAAUACUUAGCAUGGAUAAUAGAAUAGGACGUGCGGUUCUAUUUUGUUGGUUUCUAGGACCGCGUCCGUAAUGAUUAAUAGGGAUAGUCGGGGGCGUCAGUAUUCAGCUGUCAGAGGUGAAAUUUUGGAUUUGCUGAAGACAACUACUGCGAAAGCAUUCGCCAAGGAUGUUUUCAAUCAGGGAACGAAAGUUAGGGGAUCGAAGACGAUCAGAUACCGUCGUAGUCUUAACCAUAAACUAUGCCGACUAGGGAUCGGGCGGUGUUUCUAUGAUGACCCGCUCGGCACCUUACGAGAAAUCAAAGUUUUUGGGUUCUGGGGGGAGUAUGGUCGCAAGGCUGAAACUUAAAGAAAUUGACGGAAGGGCACCACAAGGCGUGGAGCCUGCGGCUUAAUUUGACUCAACACGGGGAAACUCACCAGGUCCAGACAAAAUAAGGAUUGACAGAUUGAGAGCUCUUUCUGAUCUUUUGGAUGGUGGUGCAUGGCCGUUCUUAGUUGGUGGAGUGAUU
Molecule: ribosomal RNA, 1291 nt
Filed under: Aspergillus oryzae
Lineage: Eukaryota; Fungi; Ascomycota; Eurotiomycetes; Eurotiales; Aspergillaceae
Description: SSU rRNA
Rfam family: Eukaryotic small subunit ribosomal RNA
Source: RNAcentral